This 468-nucleotide ribosomal RNA is filed under the name uncultured bacterium. Its description in RNAcentral is "partial 16S ribosomal RNA". It matches the Rfam family "Bacterial small subunit ribosomal RNA", at positions 28 to 507 of the family's 1533-position model. The record is from RNAcentral.
GACGAACGCUGGCGGCGUGCUUAACACAUGCAAGUCGAACGGAAAGGCCCUGCUUUUGUGGGGUGCUCGAGUGGCGAACGGGUGAGUAACACGUGAGUAACCUGCCCUUGACUUUUGGAUAACUUCAGUAAACUGGGGCUAAUACCGGAUAGGAGCUCCUGCUGCAUGGUGGGGGUUGGAAAGUUUCGGCGGUUGGGGAUGGACUCGCGGCUUAUCAGCUUGUUGGUGGGGUAGUGGCUUACCAAGGCUUUGACGGGUAGCCGGCCUGAGAGGGUGACCGGCCACAUUGGGACUGAGAUACGGCCCAGACUCCUACGGGAGGCAGCAGUGGGGAAUAUUGCACAAUGGGCGGAAGCCUGAUGCAGCAACGCCGCGUGCGGGAUGACGGCCUUCGGGUUGUAAACCGCUUUCGCCUGUGACGAAGCGUGAGUGACGGUAAUGGGUAAAGAAGCACCGGCUAACUACGUG